Robertmurraya massiliosenegalensis JC6 is the source of this 32-nucleotide non-coding RNA. NCBI's taxonomy places the organism in Bacteria, Bacillati, Bacillota, Bacilli, Caryophanales, Bacillaceae. The record is from Rfam.
CUCUGUCUCGAAAGAUUCAGGGCGAAAAGGAG